AACAAUCGCACGGAGACUGUCUUACCUUGGCGUCGGCUUUCGAUUGCUCGAUGGGUACAGGGGAUGAGGAAGCUGCAGGAAGGGGAAAAGAAAAGCAAAGCCUGGAUUUCCUGGCCUUGGGAAAAAUGGCAGUCAGGAGGAAGAAGUGGGUUUACAGGAUCAUGACACAGACCAGAGACUGAC
Long non-coding RNA from Pristis pectinata (smalltooth sawfish), 183 nucleotides. RefSeq lists it as uncharacterized. NCBI's taxonomy places the organism in Eukaryota, Metazoa, Chordata, Chondrichthyes, Rhinopristiformes, Pristidae. The transcript is spliced from 3 exons. The record is from RefSeq and is a predicted model, not a curated record.